GGUCGCAUGGUGUAGUGGUUAUCACAUCUCGUUUACAGGAAUGUAAAUCAAAACCGAGAAGGCCGCAAGUUCAAUCCUUGCUGCGAUCA
Molecule: non-coding RNA, 89 nt
Organism: Tricharina praecox
Lineage: Eukaryota; Fungi; Ascomycota; Pezizomycetes; Pezizales; Pyronemataceae
Source: the annotation of a RefSeq genome assembly